Molecule: unclassified non-coding RNA, 378 nt
Filed under: plant metagenome
Description: partial contains 5.8S ribosomal RNA, internal transcribed spacer 2, and large subunit ribosomal RNA
Rfam family: 5.8S ribosomal RNA (bases 1-105)
Source: RNAcentral
GAAAUGCGAUAAGUAAUGUGAAUUGCAGAAUUCGGUGAAUCAUCGAAUCUUUGAACGCACCUUGCGCUCCUUGGUAUUCCUUGGAGCAUGCCUGUUUGAGUAUCAUGAAAUCUUCAAAGUAAAUCUUUUGUUAACUCAAUUGGCUUCUACUUUGGUAUUGGAGGUCUUUGCAGCUUCACACCUGCUCCUCUUUGUUCAUUAGCUGGAUCUCAGUGUUAUGCUUGGUUCCACUCGGCGUGAUAAGUUAUCUAUCGCUGAGGACACUGUAAAAGGUGGCCAAGGUAAAUGCAGAUGAACCGCUUCUAAUAGUCCAUUGACUUGGACAAUACUUUUAUGAUCUGAUCUCAAAUCAGGUAGGACUACCCGCUGAACUUAAGC